UAACCGACUGAUCGAGCUCGGCUCGACUCUCCCACCCAAUGUGUACCUACCUCUGUUGCUUUGGCGGGCCGCGGUCCUCCGCACCGGCGCCCUUCGGGGGGCUGGCCAGCGCCCGCCAGAGGACCAUAAAACUCCAGUCAGUGAACUUCGCAGUCUGAAAAACAAGUUAAUAAACUAAAACUUUCAACAACGGAUCUCUUGGUUCUGGCAUCGAUGAAGAACGCAGCGAAAUGCGAUAAGUAAUGUGAAUUGCAGAAUUCAGUGAAUCAUCGAAUCUUUGAACGCACAUUGCGCCCCUUGGUAUUCCGAGGGGCAUGCCUGUUCGAGCGUCAUUUCAACCCUCAAGCUCUGCUUGGUAUUGGGCCCCGUCCUCCACGGACGCGCCUUAAAGACCUCGGCGGUGGCGUCUUGCCUCAAGCGUAGUAGAAAACACCUCGCUUUGGAGCGCACGGCGUCGCCCGCCGGACGAACCUUUGAAUUAUUUCUCAAGGUUGACCUCGGAUCAGGUAGGGAUACCCGCUGAACUUAAGCAUAUCAAAAGCCGGAGGAA
Molecule: ribosomal RNA, 550 nt
Filed under: Neofusicoccum parvum
Lineage: Eukaryota; Fungi; Ascomycota; Dothideomycetes; Botryosphaeriales; Botryosphaeriaceae
Description: eukaryotic LSU rRNA
Rfam family: 5.8S ribosomal RNA (bases 179-332)
Source: RNAcentral